This 2899-nucleotide long non-coding RNA is filed under the name Zostera marina. Its description in RNAcentral is "long non-coding RNA (ZMAR_LNC001917)". The record is from RNAcentral. Lineage: Eukaryota; Viridiplantae; Streptophyta; Magnoliopsida; Alismatales; Zosteraceae.
ACUACAAAAAAAAGGACCUUGUAUGGCGGCCUUUAGAUGGCGGAUUUCCGCCAUCUAUACUUCAAUAGUUUAGAUGGCGGAUGUCCGCCAUCUAUUCUUUCAGUCCGCCGAGGAAACGUUGUGGCUCGACGGCGGUUCGGAAUUUUUUUCGAUGGCGGUGUUUAGAUGGCGGAAAUCCGCCAUCUAAACUAUCCCGCCCAAAAUUUCAAUUUCCCCCCAAUUUCCAGCCCGAUUACCCGAUUAAAUUGACUUAAGAUGGCGGAAAUCCGCCAUCUUAAGUCUUCGGGGACUCGGGCGGAAAAAAGCCCGCCCAAAUUUCGAUUGGGCGGACUUUCACUUAAGUGCUGGCGGCACUUAAGUGUACUUACAUGGCGGAAAUCCGCCAUGUAAGUUUUGGGGUUUAUUAAAAACCCCAAAUCGACAGAACGCGUCUGUUCUGUCUUCUCGAAGUGUAAAUCGCCGCCGCUGCCUCCCCGCUGCCUCCCUGCUGCCUGCUGCCCCCGUCGCUGCUCGCCGUCGUUCCUCGCCGUCGGUUCUUCCUCGCCGUCGUUCCUCUCUGUCGCCGCAUCCCGCCGCAUCCUCGCCGGUUAUCUUUGAAGGUAUCAAUUUAUUGUGGGUGUCUAGCUUUUCACUUUUGUGGGUUGCGUUUUUUUUACCAAUUGCUUCUCACUUUUGUUUUAUGAUCCAAUAUAUUUUUUUUUAAUUUAGCGAUCCAAUAUGUGUUGUUAUUUCAUCCAUUUGAUUUCAACUAUAAACCCAUUUUGAUGAUGUUGAUGUAUUUUCAGUAUGGAUGUCCAUUUCACGAUCACUCCAUUGUCAUCUUGGCAUGUGUUUUUUUUAGUACAAUCCUCUUUAUAUAAUAGAUUUUCUUUUUAAUUAGUUGAUAAUACACCACUAUUUCAUUAAGGUUUCCAACAUUAUUUCAUGAUUUUUUGCUAUUAGUUUUUUUUCUAAAAAGCCAUCAUGAACUGCAUCUCCAGCAUCCUACAAGCUUAAAAUUAUUUUGUUCUUUUCAACUUGUCAUAACAUUUGAUUAGCUCUACUGUUUCAAUCUACCUACAUGUUUCUUUUUUUACUAUCUUCCAAUGAAUGCAUCCAAUGAAUGCAUGAUACUAAUACCUCCUACUUUUCCUUUGCCCCUUCCUCUUUAAUUUGACAUUCUCCACUCCUCCUAUUCCAUUCCAUUCCAUUCCAUUCCCCCACUUGCUCUUCCUGCGGAUCUCUUCUGUCCAAAACCAAGAGUAACCACUCUUUUGUCGGCCUAACUAACUAUUUCCGGACAAUUUCUUGCAGUGUUGUUUUAAUAAUGAAGGGGUUGCAUAUCAUCAUGGUGUUAAUAAUGAAGGGGUUAAUAAUGAAGGGGUUGUUUUAACUAACUAUUUCAUAUCAUCAUGGUGUUGACCAACUAGCUUUGCAAAUGAAUUCCUCAUUCAAUUAGAUAGUUGGUAUUUAAGAAUGUAGUUAAACCAAGUUUACCAUGUCAAAGAAAUAUCGAUUUCAAUUCAACUUAGUACUUAUUAGAUAGAGUUUUGCUAUAUAUAUAUAUAGAGAUCAGAUUUGUUCGUAUCAAUUUCGAAUUCAAUGAAUGCAAUUUUGUGUCAAGUAUGACAUAAAUUUUAGUGUUUUGGACAAACCCAUUUCGAAUUGAAUACAUUGGAUAUUUGUGUUUAGAUUAACUCAUCAUUGAAGUCAAGAGGUUUCCGACAAUUCCCAAUCGGAUUUUUGUGUUUUGUGUUACUUAUAUUUUUGUGUUUUGUGAAUGAUGAUCAUGUUAAGAAAGGAGAUGAUAUGUUAUUUGUAGAUGGCGUAUUUAUGUUAUUUAUGAAUCAAGGAGAUGAUAUGUUUGUGUAUUGAAAUUUACUUAUGAAUCAAAUGUUAAGAAUUUACAUAUCAAAUGUUUUGUAAUUCUUUAGUAAUUACUGAAAUUCUUUAGUAAUUACAUAUCAAAUGAAUCAAGGGGAUGAUAAGAAUUUACUGAAAUUCUUUAGUAAUUACACUGUUUUGUCUUAUGUUAAGAAUAAUUAGAUAAAUAUGAAUCAAUUAUGAAUAAUUAUGAAUCAAAUGCAUGUGAAUCAAAGAAUAUGAAUCAAGAUAAUAGUUAGAAUCAAGAUAAUAAUUACUGAAAUGUUAAGAAUAUGAAUAAUUAGAAUAAAUAUGAAUCAAAGAAUAAUUAUGAAUCAAAUGUUAAUUAGAUAAAUAAUUACUGUUUUUAUUAAAUAAAUUAAAUAAAAUAAUGUUUUUAAAUAAAUAAAUAAUUAAUAUUUUUUUUAAAAAAGAAAUAAAUUACUGUUUUUAAAUAAUUUUAAAAUUACUGAAAUUCUUGUAUAUUAUUUUCUGUUAUGAAUUAAAUAAUUAAUAAUUUGUUUAAAUAAAAAAAUAAAUAAUUUAAAAAUUAAGUAAUUAAAUAAAUUAUUUUGUCUUAUACUUGUAAUUAAUUAAUUUGCAUGUAAUUAUAAAUGUGUUAACUAAUAAUUAUAAAAUUGUAUCAAAUUAAUCUGUUAAUUAAAAUGUUAAAUAAUUAAAUUGUAUCAAAUAAUUUAAAUAAUGUUUUGAAUUAAUUAAAUGACAUACUGUUUUUAAAUAAUUAAUUAAUGAAAGUUUUUCAUAUUUUAAAUUAAUCAAUUAUUUUACAAUUAUUGCAAUUAUUUUACAAUUAUUUCAUAUUUAUUACAAUUCAUAUUUUAAAUUAAAAAAUUAUUUGACUUGAUGUUGUUGACUUGAUGUAGGUUAAUUUUGAAAAAUCAAGAAUCCAAUAAAUUUGGAUUGAAUUAAGUUAUAUUGCGGUAUGAAAAUUAUACAUUUUUUUUAAUCUUUUUGUUUUAAAAAUAUUUAAUGAAUUUGCAUGCAUGUAAAUAUAUAUAAAUUUGUUAAUUAGUAAUUAUUAAAUUGACUGAUUUUA